This 473-nucleotide ribosomal RNA is filed under the name uncultured bacterium. RNAcentral describes it as "partial 16S ribosomal RNA". It matches the Rfam family "Bacterial small subunit ribosomal RNA", at positions 27 to 507 of the family's 1533-position model. The record is from RNAcentral.
GGACGAACGCUGGCGGCGUGCUUAACACAUGCAAGUCGAACGCUGAAGCUUGGUGCUUGCACUGGGUGGAUGAGUGGCGAACGGGUGAGUAAUAAGUGAGUAACCUGCCCUUGACUCUGGGAUAAGCCUGGGAAACUGGGUCUAAUACUGGAUACGACAUGUCACCGCAUGGUGGUGUGUGGAAAGGGUUUUACUGGUUUUGGAUGGGCUCACGGCCUAUCAGCUUGUUGGUGGGGUAAUGGCUCACCAAGGCGACGACGGGUAGCCGGCCUGAGAGGGUGACCGGCCACACUGGGACUGAGACACGGCCCAGACUCCUACGGGAGGCAGCAGUGGGGAAUAUUGCACAAUGGGCGGAAGCCUGAUGCAGCGACGCCGCGUGAGGGAUGACGGCCUUCGGGUUGUAAACCUCUUUCAGCACGGAAGAAGCGAAAGUGACGGUACGUGCAGAAGAAGCGCCGGCUAACUACGUG